Molecule: long non-coding RNA, 1133 nt
Filed under: Volvox carteri
Lineage: Eukaryota; Viridiplantae; Chlorophyta; Chlorophyceae; Chlamydomonadales; Volvocaceae
Description: long non-coding RNA (VCAR_LNC002116)
Source: RNAcentral
GAAGCUUAGAAACCGUUUCGCUUGACGAUUUGGGCAGACGAGCGAGCAAGCAAGCGGGCAGUGUCAUCAGGUGUCAGAACCAGAAGAUCCUCUUGAGCACCAGGACUAGAUUCCUUGGUUCGGAGCACUAUCGUCAACCCUGCUGCCUGCAAUCCCUGUGUGGAAUUGGGGGCCUGGGGUAAGGCGCCAAACAGGAAACAACACUGUGGGCUAAUUUGACUCUUGAAUGUCCAAUGAACGUACGUACAUAGAUUGCUGUGUUAGAUGCACUCGUGCACCAGCCGCACUUGGUUUACUUCGUUAAGCAGGCAAGCUGUAUGAAGAGGUAGCCGAGGCCAUCAACCUAUCAUCGUCCUAUGGUCUUCGCUAGACCGACGGCCGCUUGGGUGCCGUUGGCCAGCACUGUCCGCUGCCUCCGAUACGUCUUUGGUGGCUUAAAAUGAGCCGUUCCACGCUGCUGAACCCCACUAUUUCCGCAUGGCUUACACCGGCCUCUGCGCGGCGGCCAUGGACGUGAACUUCGCAUAGGAGUGGACUAAGCCAAGUCCUUCGUCCGAUUCAUUGAAAUGGAUGCGAUGCGAUCUUCAGCAAUACCACUUGUGACCGGGCUGAGUUCUGGCUAGUCCUACACCUGCUGGUUGAGAGGCAGGCAGGCGAACCUGUUGCAGUUCCUACUCAAGACAGGCCAUGCAGCGAGCCGCGCCAGCUCUCUCGGAACCUGGCAAGACGGAAGCCCAAACCCUUGAAUGACAAGGGGUGGAGAGCGAGACUUGCAUGGCCACUUGGCGGGCAGGCUGCCAUACCCUGCGGUCCUCUCGCCAGUCGGGCAAGUUGAUAGGUUGUAAGGUUUAUUAUCCAGUUUGCCUCUGAUUUUCAAAUGCCGAUUUACAUCGCGCCAUGCCCGAUGUCCCAGCUCCAUAUCGUAUCCCCCGGACUCCCAACCCUACAUGAACCUGGUCUCCAUGUUACGAUAAUCACAAGCUAAGCACUGAGCCUGAGGUCUCACGAUGCAAGCAUGGAAAAGAAAAUAAUCUACGUAUUAACAUCCAAGGGAUGGACUUAAGUGCACCACGGUCAAUAUGUGCAAGCCCAUGCAAGCAUUUGUUGCAUCGUGCAGAUCAAAACGCGCCAUU